Small nucleolar RNA from Spea bombifrons (plains spadefoot toad), 126 nucleotides. NCBI's taxonomy places the organism in Eukaryota, Metazoa, Chordata, Amphibia, Anura, Pelobatidae. The record is from RefSeq and is a predicted model, not a curated record.
CUGCACAAUUCAUUGGCUUGUUCUUCUCUCUGUACAGAGCAAAGCUAUUUGUAGUGUGCUACAUAAACUGAAGGCUAAUUAGCAGCGUAACAGCUCGUUACCGCUGCCAGUCUCCUUCAUACAUUU